CCUCCGUGUGUCCGCCGUCUUUACUCUUUCUCAAUUUUUUAAACCCUUAAUCAUCAACUCCUCUUUUAUUAUUAAUUUUUUCUUAUUUUAAACUCCUUUUUUUAUAUAAUAUAAUUACUUUAUCUCACGCCUCCGCCCCGGCUCCCUCCGUGCCCGCCGCCGCGGUCCUCCGGCGGGUGCCCGCGUUCCUCGUAAUCACUGGGCGUAAAGAGCGCGUAGUCGGGAUAGCAAGUCAUAUGUUAAAUCCUAUGGCUUAACCAUAGAACUGCAUUUGAAACUGUUAUUCUAGAGUAUGGGAGAGGUAGGUGGAAUUCUUGGUGUAGGGGUAAAAUCCGUAGAGAUCAAGAGGAAUACGCAGGGCGAAGGCGACCUGCUAGAACAUAACUGACGCUGAUGCGCGAAAGCGUGGGGAGCAAACAGGAGGAGAGACCCGUUAGUC
Molecule: ribosomal RNA, 439 nt
Filed under: uncultured bacterium
Lineage: Bacteria
Description: partial 16S ribosomal RNA
Rfam family: Bacterial small subunit ribosomal RNA
Source: RNAcentral